This is a long non-coding RNA of Aplysia californica (California sea hare), 984 nucleotides long. RefSeq lists it as uncharacterized. The record is from RefSeq and is a predicted model, not a curated record. The transcript is spliced from 2 exons. Lineage: Eukaryota; Metazoa; Mollusca; Gastropoda; Aplysiida; Aplysiidae.
UGUCGUUCUGUCUCGUGGACGGCUACUUCCCGCGACUACGAUAGUUUAGCCACACACAGACAGAUUCGAAUCGUGCACGCUUGGGCCUUUGGUUCUAUAAUAAUAAUAAUAAUAAUAAUACUAUCAUCGUCAUUAUUAUCACCGCGCUCGUCAUGUAAUUCUGAUACAAUCUCCUGAAUGCAGUCAUUGGUGGUGCGUACGGAUGGAUGUAGUAGGCUAGUUCUGUGAGUGAGGAAGAAAGGAAUCGUUGCGUUGGUUGUGAUCUUGAUCUAGGCUGGCUUAUAUUUGUGUUGAAUGAUGAUUCUUCUGAAGGAUGUGGUAUUGCGUGGAAGGAUUCUGUGCGGAGUGGACAGGACUAUGACGUGAUCUGAGACAAAAGGGCAGGCAGUUGUUGGUGUUUUGGGACAUCGGCGGCUUUUUGGAACGUGAGCCUUCUAUACAAGCAGUGGUUGCUCUCACAGACUGGCCCCACAACAUUCGAGAAACCACGUCACGUCUUUAGAAACUCUUAAAACAGGAAUCGCCUAGCAAAUAUAUACGAACUGCGUCGAGACAUUAUCCUUGCUCAAGAUCUGGAGAACAUUGACGUAAAACAAUUGUCCACCAUAUGGCCUCGGUUGUACUUUUUAAACACCUUACUGCUUUCUUCACAAUAAGACUAACAGCUGGACCCCUUCGUUUGUCAACUGUUUUGUUUGGAUUUUGAAAACCGGAUUUGUUUCUGCUUGACGAUCCCCAGAAGUAAACGAAUCCUUCAGGAAUUUCCACCAAAGAUUUUGUCUGAAACGUUUUGACGGAUUUCUAAUCUCGGGACGCAGAGAGACAACAGAGAACUCUACUACUGACUCCGUUGGCCUUGAAUUUCCUCAGCCACACAUACCCAACAAAAUCAGUGAUAAAACAUCAACAACAACAGCAGCAGCAGCAACAAAGAAGCAGCAGCAUCAACAACAGCAAUUGUAACGACGACAACAACAUCAAAAA